This 208-nucleotide long non-coding RNA is filed under the name Ananas comosus (pineapple). RNAcentral describes it as "long non-coding RNA (ACOM_LNC029049)". The record is from RNAcentral. Lineage: Eukaryota; Viridiplantae; Streptophyta; Magnoliopsida; Poales; Bromeliaceae.
GGACCGGUCUCUGGGGGACCGGUCUCUCAGGCAGGGACCGGUUCCCGAGAGCUAGUUUCUUAGGACUUAGCCGAUUUUUCGGCUGUCUCAUUUCAUACGCGUUCGGGGACCGGUCUCUCCCACCAGGGACCGGUCCCCGAGAGCUCAAAACUGCAGAAUGCAGAUUUUGAUUCUAUAGCUCUCGAAAACCUCCCGUAACUCGCUUUUA